This 66-nucleotide transfer RNA is filed under the name Physoderes impexa. Its description in RNAcentral is "tRNA-Trp". Lineage: Eukaryota; Metazoa; Arthropoda; Insecta; Hemiptera; Reduviidae. The record is from RNAcentral.
AAAGCUUUAAGUUAAUAAAACUAUUAGCCUUCAAAGCUAAAAUUACAGUGAUAAUUGUAAGCUUUG